Molecule: long non-coding RNA, 353 nt
Organism: Amphimedon queenslandica
Lineage: Eukaryota; Metazoa; Porifera; Demospongiae; Haplosclerida; Niphatidae
Exons: 3
Source: RefSeq, a predicted model, not a curated record
ACUGGGACCUGCUAGUAGUGCAAUCAGUGUACAGACCUCAGUUAUUAGUUCAAUCAAUUGGGUACUAGUCUCAUCUAUUACACAACUCAAUAACAUUCAAUAUCGCUUUGAUUGUAUCACAACUACUACUAAUAUGAUAAAUCCUUUAACUGAUGUUUACUGGUUAGUAAAUGGAGUGAUGAAGAGCAACUCAAUAUAUACAUCAAUUGAUGUCCUGACAUACAACAACACACUACUGGUAUAUCCUGAUCUACUGGAAGUGUUAGUUAAUAUUACCUGUAUAGCAAUGACUGGAGGAUUUAACUACAGUCAAUCUGUGAUAUUACAUGCUCCUAGUGGUCCUCCAAAUAAUG